GCGCCCGUAGCUCAGUUGGAUAGAGCGACGGUCUCCGAAGCCGUAGGUCGGAGGUUCGAACCCUCUCGGGCGCGCCA
RNAcentral lists this transfer RNA (77 nucleotides) under Bacillota bacterium. RNAcentral describes it as "tRNA-Arg". It matches the Rfam family "tRNA". From Rfam's summary of the family: Transfer RNA (tRNA) molecules are approximately 80 nucleotides in length. The record is from RNAcentral. Lineage: Bacteria; Bacillati; Bacillota.